This 5993-nucleotide long non-coding RNA is filed under the name Brassica napus (rape). Its description in RNAcentral is "long non-coding RNA (BNAP_LNC025968)". The record is from RNAcentral. Lineage: Eukaryota; Viridiplantae; Streptophyta; Magnoliopsida; Brassicales; Brassicaceae.
GCGUCAGAGAGGUAGCCCCCGAGGAGGCCGAAGAUAAAGAUUGUGCCGACAAAGUUGGUAACAAUAUUGGCCGCUUUAGACAAGGGGAAAUGCAUUUCGUUGAUAACAUAUGUUAUAAGGUUGUUCCCUACUGCUGCUAUCCCCAUUAUCUCAAAGGCUUGUAGUCCUUAAAAAUUAAAAAUCACAAAUCUAUAAGCCAUAGAAUAAUUAUGAAAUCUUAUAUUGACCAAGGUCCAUGGAAUAAAUAAUUAUGGUUAGUGGGACCAUAAAUUGGAUAAGCUGGGUUCUUAUCGACCAAGACACUAGUAUAAUAUGAUCCAUCACCGGUUAGAAACAAAUCUUUAACACUAAAUUAGUUUUUGAGAGAGAGAGAGUACCCAGAACAAAGAGAGCAGCUCUCGUUCCACCAUGCUUGGGGUUGGAUGGUCUUCCUCUCCAAUCAACACUUUCUUCUUCAGUCAGUUCCCAGUUAUUCAUUUCAUUACUAAUCUCCUCUUGUUCCCAUUUUUUACUUUGAUUGUUUGCCUCUUCCAUCUCUCACAAACCACACAGACAAUCAAAAGUUUCUCUCUCGAUAUUUAUGCUUUAGCUGUGAGAGAGAGGAGAAAGAAAAAAAGAUUGGUUAUCAAUUGGUUUAUGUUUUAGUUUCUUAAAGACAAAUAGAGUUGGCCGAUUGGCCCUUCAAUUUAUAAUAGAGUAAAGAUGAAGAGAGGGAGCCAAAGUCAUUGACUUUUUAGCCUUGUGUAUUCAACCACAAUUAUAGUUUUGAAAUUCAACAAUAUAUUUUGACUUUUAAAUACCCCACAUCUUUUUUUUUUAUCCACCUAAUAAUUCAACACACAUUCAACUUUCUACUUUUUAAUUGUUUUGUUUAAUUAUAUUCAACACCAUAUCUUACCAUCUUCAUUUCAUAUACUAUUUACUAUAUAUUAUUGUUAACUAAAAUUAAAUUAAAAUAACUAAAAGUUUUGAAAAUUAUUUUUCAGAAAUAUAAUUAAAGAAAUUGUGUUAAAAGAGUUAUUGUUAAGAUUUAUUUCAAAAACUAUUUGAAAAAUAUUUUCUAUGUCCAAAAAAUGAAAUCAAUCUCUAUUUAUAGAGAAUGUGAAAUAAAUAAAUUUUGAUAAAUAAACGUAAUUGAAUUGAUUAAAGAAUAAUUAGUGUUAAAUAAUAAAGAUGUAAUAAAAAUAACAAAAAACUUUACCACUAAUAAUAACAAAACACAUGGUGUUGGUGAUUCCAUAUUUUUUUUAUUUAACUUGUUGAAUUCAACUAUGUUUACUUCACAUCAUUGUUUAUUUUUUCAACAUCCUUAUAAUAUAAUUUCAACAGUUAAAUAGUUUACGAAUAUGCUCAUUGUAAAGAGUUAAACAUGUCCAUUGUAUGCAGUCUAGCACUAAGUUUUGAUUCUAGGCAGAAACGAAAACGCCGUGUGUCUCUCAGUUUGUCCCACACGCAUUUUCUACAAAAGGUGUGAAUCUCUCUCCCACCACAAAUUUUUCAUUUUCAAUUUGAUACUUAAUUUUGAUAGAUCAGUUGAAUUUAGAAUGGUAUAAGGUAUUGAAUAAAUGUGUGUGUGUGUGUGUGUGUUUGCGAAAAUGAUGGGCAUUAUAUAAGGGAUGGUUAAAUACAAAAGAUAUUAGGUUUUAUACUUUUUGAUGUUUACUUGUUGGUCAUGUUACUUUCAUUCCCCUUUUCAGCGUGUAUAUAUGAAGAGUCAAAAGUUUAUGUCAUUUAUAUGAACUUCCAUGAUACACCUCACUAUCGUGCAUGUUUAAAGCAUUUGGUUGUAAUUUACUGGAAUUUUUAAAGGGUCGGGUUGUAUUUGUUGAUAACGGUUUGUGUCAAUAAUAUACUGUAUUGCUUUUGUGUUGUGCUAUCAUACUCUGUUUCUCUUUUUACUGUCUCGUCACACUUUAUUUAGGUCCAAAUACAUGACGCACAUUAUUAAUUAAACACUUUCUCGUGGAACAAUAGUUGGGUUCACUCCUGUGGUGAAUAGUUAAACUCACCUCACUUCUUAUAAUCAACUAAAAUGCCAUGUAGGAUUAGUUAAAAAAUGCAAUAAAUUUUUUAAAAAUGGUUGAAAAAAACAACACCAACUUUAAUACCAUUUAAAAAAACCCGAGAUUCUAAAAAAUCUAAAAUCUAAACCCUAAACCUCAAAUCCUAAGCUCUAAACCCAAAUCUUAAACCCUAAAUCCUAAACUUUAAACCCAAAAUCCUAAACUCUAAACUCUAAACCCAAAAUCCUAAACUCUAAACCCAAAAAUCUAAGCCAUAAACCCUAAACCAUCAAUUCUAACCCCUAAACUCUAAAGCUUAAAUUCUAAACCCUAAACCCAAAACUCUAAACAAUAAACCCGAACUAUGAUCAAGUAAUGCGUUUAGGGUUUAGUUUAGGGUUGUGUUUUGGGUUUAGGAUUUAUGAUUUAGGGUUAGAGUUUUGGGUUUAGGGUUUAGGAUUUUGGGUUUAGAGUUUAGGGUUUAGGAUUUUGAGUCUAGAGUUUAGGAUUUAGAGUUUUGGGUUCAGGGUUUAGGGUUUAAAGUUUAGGUUUUAGGUUUAGUGUUUAGAUUUUUGAUUUUUAGAGUUUCGGAUUUUGCAAACGGCUUUAACGUCGGUGUUGUUUUUCUCAGCCAUUUAUUUUUUAAUUUUAUUACCUUUUUAACUAAUGCUACAUGGUACUUUGGUUGGUUAUAAAUAGUGAGGUGAAUUUAACCAUUCACUAUGGGGAUGAACCUAAGUAUUGUUCUUUCUUGUGCGGCAAACAUCUUGAACUUCCGGAACAAAAUCACUAAUAUUAAAAUUUGCUAAAAAUUAAUAGUAGUAAUGAACUAAUUCCGAUUCAUGGUAUUAAGUAACGAAAUAAAUCUUUUUUUAUAUUGGGAUAUAGUGGUUGAUUAUUCCCUCUGGAUUUCAAUCAUAAUUAACCAUUGUAAAUCAUCUUAAAUGGUUGAUAAAAAAAAAGACGAUACAAGUAAAUGAAAAAAUAUACAAAUUUCGCACGCUCAAUUGGAUCACUCUUUUGCAAAAUGCAUUCAACAGCAUUAGGCAAAAAUGUAAAUCCUAGAAAUAGCAUGUUUUGGGGUCUCACAAACAUCUCUAUUAUUAAAAUAGAAGUACAGUUAUAAAAUAUCCCAAAGUUUUUCUACUUAUUUACAAUAAUAUGUCAUUGAAGUAAUUAAAUGAACAUAUCUUUAAAUAAUCAUUGUUUUUUCUUAUUUAUUAAAUUAUUUCCUAAAUCAAAUUUAGCUUAAUUUUUGCAUUUAAUAUGUUUCCUAAAACAAAUUUGCUAAUUUUGGCGAAUAUUCAAAUUUAAAAUCGAUUUUAACAAUAUCAAACUUGGAUAAUGUUACCAUUAGUUAUUUUUGAACAAAAUUCAAGUUUAAAUUUGAUAUUAAACAGUAUGAUGAAUAUUCCUAAAAUAUAUGUUUAACUUACCAUUAAUUAUUUUGAACAAUAAAAUCUAUAUAUGCUAAGAUAUAUUUAAAUAUCUUUAAACUACUUAUAGAACAAUAUGAAAUAUUUGUAACUGAAUAUUAUUUUUAAUAUAAUUAAAUCUCGCCUAAGAUUAUAUAUAUUUCAAAAUUUUCUAAAACAUAUGUUUAACCAUAUUGGUUACUAUUAAUUAUUUUUUAAAAACAAUUAAUAUUAAAAUUUAAAUAUCUUUGAAUUACUUAUGAAACACUGUUUAAUGUUUAUAACCAAAUAUUCUUUUCUAGCGUAUCUAAAUCUCACCAUAUGCCCCAUAUCUGAUCAAAAUAUUUAAAUUCUUAUUACAUUUGGAAAACAAUUUCAUGUUAAAAGACAUAUUACUCAAACAUAUCAAUAGAUCAAUAUUUCUCGAAAGUUUAGUGUCGGACAUGAGUCACUAUUUUUUACAGCAAGUAAACUAUUUGAUUGUUGUGUUUAUAAAAAAUUUAAAAUAUGAUAAAUAUUUAAAAUAUAAACCAAUAAACGUUUAAAUAAUAUUCAUUUAUAUAAAAAGUGAAAAUAAAUAGGGAAAAUUUGGAUAAAUGCACUUUAAUAAGAAUAUAAUUUAAAAAAUACACCCUUGUUUAAGCUUUUUGAAAAAUACACUUAUCUAUAUAUAAAUUUACCAAAUUGGCCAAUCUUAAUAGUUAUCAAUUCCAAUUAAACAAUUUUAAAAAAAAAUAUUUUAAAAGAAAAUCAUUAGAGAUAGGGAAUUAUUUGUGAAUCCACUGUUCAGAAUUUCUUCCAACUCUUUCAUAUACACAUGAAAGUAAAUUUUCGAUAAGACUUCAAUGCAAGCAACACCGUAUGUUUUAUGUGACUUUAAAGUGCUGGUAUGUGUUUGUUCUUCUUCUGCCUUUCUUUUUUCAUUACUUCAUUUUUGAAUCUUGUACUUCAUCUCUAUAUAAACAACAUAAAUUAAAAAAUUUGUAAGAUACAUGAAUCAAAUCAUUGGCUCAAACCGAUUUAUUGGAUUUUCAUGACACGUAAAAAAAGAAGAACAAACCGAUGAAUAAUAAUCAGUGCAAUUCUUUUUCAUAUUCAAAAUCAAAAAAAAAAUACAUAUCUGAAUACAUCAUAUUAGCUAGAACUUACUUGGCUCCAGUAGAGAAGAUGAAAAUUUUGUACAAACAAACGUUACUUGUUUUUCUUUUUUAACAACAUGACUUGUUUAUGUAAGUUGAAGAAAAUAAAAUAAAGGGAAAUCUGUAUAAACAUCAUGAUAAAAUCAAAACAAGUCAUAAUUCACAUGUUUAUCUUUGUUAUUGUAAAAUUUAAAUGGUAAAAUAACAUAUUUAUCUUAACACACAUAUUUAUCUAAUUUUAAUGAUAUUAUUUUAUUAAUUUUGAAUUUAUAUAUUAAUUUCGAAUUAUAUCUUGGGUAAAAAGGUCAAUUCAUAAUUAAAGAAGUGUAUUUUUCAAAAGUUAAAAUAGAAAAUGCAAUUAUCAAAUUUCAAAUCCUAAAUAUGGUAUUUUGCAAAUUAUCCCAAAUAAAUAUCCAUGCGGACGCGCGGGUCAAGAUCAAAUAUUAUCUUAAGGUGACUAAUUUAAACACAAUGGAUAGAUACGGAUGCAAAAAUUUAAGCAAGCAACAAUUGCAAUUUAAAAUGUUUUAAGCGAUUCAUGCGACUGCCGUCAAGAGAGAAUGUUAAAAAAAAGUGGUGGAUGCACAUGCACCCAGUGCUUUGUUACGUAUUUUGAGUUUUAAACAAGGUUUCUCUUUUUACUUCUAAAUAUAUUUAUGAAUUAUCUAUCUGGAAUAACAAAUGGUCGAGAAAAACAACUUUUGAUAUUAAAAGAUUAAAGCAGUAUGAAAGGAUAGAACUAUACAAACCAGUGGAAAACGGAUUCUUUUUAUUACUGUCAGAUGUCUAACAAAAUUACAUGUUGUUUAGAAACAAUAUUAUGCAAUUUAGUUAUAUUUUAUUAGAUACCAUAUCGUAUUAUAAAUAACAUGACUAUACCAUUGGUCAAAAUAUUAAAAUCCUUUGAAAACUCUUUAAUAACAAUAUUGACUCAUGAUCAUCGAUUUUAAUAAAAAUACAAUUGAUUAUUUAGCAAACUUAUCUUCUUUUUUUUUGUAACAUAGCAAACUUAUCUUACAAGUUUAUUUAACAGGAGUUGAACUAAAACUAAUAUAUGCGUACUAUUCUAGGAAAUACUGAAAAUAGUUAAACUUACCAGCUAAACAUUCAUUUUGUGUUAAAGACUUAAAGUACGUGCAUUCGUUAACUUCAUCUUUUUUUUUAACUCUCUUUUACUUUCUCUUAAUUUUUUUUUAAAAAAUUCAUUGAUGAAAACAUAUUACAACCAUUACAACAACAACAAACCAGAAAUAACACGACAUGCUGCAACAGUUACGCGAAGGAUAUAUGAUAUGAGGACCAAAACUUCUAUAGGAAACAACUGCUAAUCCCCAAGAAGAUAGUAAGGAGCUCGAGAACUUGUUGGAACUAAUUUUUUAUAAGCUUAACGGACUGAGUAAAAAAUUGAAUAAGUGUGAAUAUAAUUUUUAUAAGCC